AAUGGAUAUUACCAAACAAUUUCAAAAUGGCUGCAACUACACUUAAGGAUAUAAAGCAAAAUAUAACCAAUGACUGAAAAGGCAAAAAUAGAAACCAUAAAAAUGAAACAUGAAAAUUCUAAAACUAAAAACACAAUCCCUGAAAAUGCCACCCCUGUCACCCCUACAAAACUAAGUACUGGCUUGGGUGUGAGGCAGUAAUGAGCUGUAUACAGUGUUAUCAACAUUACAGAAAGCCACAGUAGUUACUAAAGGAAAGAAGAAAAUAAGUCUAUUCUUGAUCCAUAAUUCAUGAUUUUCAGGCAAUUCUUGACAAUCACUUAAGUUAUUACUGCACUUUACAGAAGAUAAAAUGAGGAUCAAAGAGAUUAAGAAAUAUGGCUCAAGGUUAUUAUACAAGUAGUGUCUUCCAAGCAAUUCUAGAUCCAGUACUAAGUUCUUGUUAUUUUUUAAGCAAUGAUGAACUGAAAAGCCUGUUGCUGAAGAAAAGCAGCUGGCUAAUAAAGCAGAAAUUAUAACAGAAUAAGCAAUGUAAAAGGUUUGAAAAUGCUUUCUUUAAAGGUUUCUCUUUUAGGAAAGCAAUUUUAUUAGGAACCUCUUUAUUCAUAUUGUCCUAUUCAUUUUUCCUAGGUCAUCUGAUAUCCCACUAUUUGUAAAAUAUUAGCAGAUAUUAGGGCCUGGUUACAUAAAUUAUAGAACAUACAAUGGAAUGAAUGCUAUGCAGCAUUACAAACGACCGUAUAAAAUGUCUGCUGAUAAGGAAAGCUGAUCAAAACAUAUUAUGAGAAACAAAACAAAAAAAUAGUGUGAACAAUAUCAUCUGAUUUUUUUAAAGUUCUAUUAAGUUCUAUUAAUUGCAGACUUCAAAAUGUUAAACAUUUGGUAAUUUCCAAGUGAUGAGUCUAUGGGUGAUUUUCAUUUUUUGAGCUUAUUCUAUUUGCCAUUCUUAAUAUUAUAUUUUUUGGACAAUACUUGUGCAAUUGAAAAAUUAAACUUGUAAAUCACACCAUCAUGCUGUACACCUUAAAUUUCUACAGUAACGUUUGUCAAUUAUUUCUCAAUAAAAUUGAGGGGGAAAUGAACAAAACAAUCUUAUUCAUCAACUCAACAACUAUUAGGCACAUACUACAUACCAAGUAAUGAUUACUUAAU
Pipistrellus kuhlii (Kuhl's pipistrelle) is the source of this 1152-nucleotide long non-coding RNA. RefSeq lists it as uncharacterized. Lineage: Eukaryota; Metazoa; Chordata; Mammalia; Chiroptera; Vespertilionidae. The transcript is spliced from 2 exons. The record is from RefSeq and is a predicted model, not a curated record.